This 413-nucleotide unclassified non-coding RNA is filed under the name uncultured fungus. RNAcentral describes it as "partial contains small subunit ribosomal RNA, internal transcribed spacer 1, and 5.8S ribosomal RNA". The stretch from base 1 to 73 matches the Rfam family "Eukaryotic small subunit ribosomal RNA", at positions 1759 to 1831 of the family's 1831-position model. The record is from RNAcentral. Lineage: Eukaryota; Fungi.
GCAAACUUGGUCAUUUAGAGGAAGUAAAAGUCGUAACAAGGUUUCCGUAGGUGAACCUGCGGAAGGAUCAUUACUGAAUAAAGCGUGGUCGGGGGUUGUCGCUGGCAUCCUUUGGGAUGCAUGUGCACGCCUCUGCCACUCUGUCAUUCACCCUCUCCACCUGUGCAUUCUCUUGUAGGCCAGUUUGCCAUCCUUUCACCGGCGUUCUCCUGAACGCUUCUGUGUGUCUUGAGACUUGCUGUUGCAGCGACACAGCUCCUCUCGUCUGCAUUCUGGUCUAUGCUUUUUUAACCCAAACCCCCCCAUGUUUUUGUUUUGUACGUAUGGACAAUUAGCUUUGUUAAAGCAUAAUAUGUGUAUACACAACUUUCAACAACGGAUCUCUUGGCUCUCGCAUCGAUGAAGAACGCAGC